CUUUCUUCUUCUUCUUCUUAUUUCUUUUCUCUUUUUCUUUUCUGCUGUUAAUUUGUGAGUCAUGCAUGAAGAUUUUUAGAUCGAACCAAGAGUUGAAAUAUGAAAGAAGGGUUCCUGGUGGUGAUGAUUGAGUUGUGGUUGGUUCUGAGUUAAAAGAAGUGACGAGUUAGAGAGGAUUAAGUUAGGGUUUGAGUUUGGGUUCAAGCCAUAGAAGAAUUGAGUAAUGAAAGAUAGAUUUGAGUGAUUCGUGAUGAAGAAAAAGAAGGGUUGCUAUUAAUUUGUCAAUGUGAAGUUGUUCUUAUGAAGAAUCACAAAUCAGACGAAUUAGGGUUUCAUAGGAAUAACGUAGAGAAGCUGUAGUAUAUGAAAUUGGUGUUCUGGAAGAAUGAUUCGAGAUAGGUAUUGAAUGAUUGAGUGUAUUAGAGUGCAGUUAUAGAUGAAGUUAACCCUCAGAGGAUGGAAUUGAUGAUGAUGUUUGAUCAAUUAGGGUUUCGGUGGAAUUGUCUUGGUGAACUAGCGAAUCAGAAGAUGUUAAUGUUUGGGUAAACCUUUAAUUGUUUAACUUUGGUCUUUUGAGUUGAAUUGCUAAGAUUAUUUGAGUUUACAUGUUUGUAUUUGAAGCUGAGCUUGAGAUGAUUAGAUAGUGAAACUGUAACUAUUGUUAGAAGUGGUGUUGAUAUCAAGUUACUGUUGAAUUUGAAGUAUAGUUGAGAUUGGUGUAUGCUGAGAAGGACUGGGUCUAUUCUUGUUGUAAUUGUUAUAGGUGAAUAUUGAAUUAUCUUGGGUGCAGGUGUUAAUGAAAUGAUUUGUUGGAUGCUGCUGUGAUAAACAAGGUAGCUGGGUUAUAUUAAUAAGGGUUGUUAUUUGUGUCUGUGAUUUGAUUGAGAUGGCAGUGUAGAGGAAUGUUAGGUUGGUUGUAGAUGGAAUAGUCUUGGUGUUGGUGGAUUUGAGUUACACAUAAUCGUCUUAUGUUGGAUUAGUAGAAAUAUUGCUAAGUUGCAGGGAGGAGUUGAAUCUGUGGUGGUAUGAUAUUGAGUUUGAGGUUUAAAUGUGGAAUUGAGUUUGGUUCAUUUGGUAAUGGAAGUAAAUGUUGAUACUGUUGUGACUAUGAAAAAGGUUAUCGGUUUCUUGAGAUGAUGAAUGAGUUAUGAAUUCAAAUGUGUUGGUUUUUGUAGAACUGGAGUUGCAGUUACAGAGUUGAGGUGUGUGAGCUCGUUGAUUGGUGGUUCUAGUGCAAUUGCACAUAAAUGGAACUGUUGGUGUUGGUAUUCACAAAUGCAGGGGGCUGCUGGAGUUACAAUUGUUGGAGUUUAGUUAGGCAAGUGAAAUGAAAAUGAAGUUGGGAUACCGGAGUUAGUGGUGUGAACUGGUGUGCACAAGAAGCUGCAGAUGGUUGAGCUAAAAGAUGCAGUGAGUUUGUUGUGUUGUGAAGAAACUGAAGAAGGGGUUGAGGUUAAGGGCUGCUGAUAAGAGACUGGUGCUAAGAAGACAGAACCAUUGCAAGACUCAAGAAUUGGUUAUGAUGUUGGAUGGGCCUGAAAUGAACUGUUGUAUGUGGUUUUGUAAUGAAGUGAUGUUGCAGUUGACAUUUGAGAAGAUGUGCUCUGGUUGAAUGUUAGUGUUCCCUGUGAUGGUUUGCAGAGAAUGUUGAGAGUGGAAGUGAUGUUUGAACUGAGUUGGUAGAAUGAAGAAAAGUUAGAUUGUUGAUUAUAGAGUUGUAGAUAGUGAUUGCUGUGAAAGGCUUGGAACUGCUGCAAUUGCAGUUAGUCUAUUUAACAACGGUCGAUUCAAAGGAUGAACCAGUGGAUCGUGGAUCUCGAGGUAGGCGUGGCUUGUCAUCAAAAGAGGUGGGAAUACAUUUGACUCUUUGAUAACCAUUAUUGUUUUCCUUUACAAAAGUUUAUGUUUAACAAACUCAUGUAUUUCUGUUUGUGCGUUCUAUGCAUGGUUUAACUUGUUUUACAAUAAUACUGUUGAUUCUGUUAAUCUUUCCAUGGUUUGGAAAGGACCUGUAAUGUGUUGUGGUCAAUAUGAAUUGUUAUGGGAAAUAAGAAUUUUCACGUGUGGUA
Molecule: long non-coding RNA, 2069 nt
Organism: Papaver somniferum (opium poppy)
Lineage: Eukaryota; Viridiplantae; Streptophyta; Magnoliopsida; Ranunculales; Papaveraceae
Exons: 2
Source: RefSeq, a predicted model, not a curated record